This 72-nucleotide transfer RNA is filed under the name Thermoleophilaceae bacterium. RNAcentral's name for it is "tRNA-Glu". It matches the Rfam family "tRNA". From Rfam's summary of the family: Transfer RNA (tRNA) molecules are approximately 80 nucleotides in length. Their secondary structure includes four short double-helical elements and three loops (D, anti-codon, and T loops). Lineage: Bacteria; Bacillati; Actinomycetota; Thermoleophilia; Thermoleophilales; Thermoleophilaceae. The record is from RNAcentral.
GGCCCCGUGGUGUACCGGUCAGCACGCGACCCUUUCAAGGUUGAAGAACGGGUUCAAUUCCCGUCGGGGCUA